This 802-nucleotide ribosomal RNA is filed under the name uncultured bacterium. RNAcentral describes it as "bacterial SSU rRNA". It matches the Rfam family "Bacterial small subunit ribosomal RNA", at positions 8 to 810 of the family's 1533-position model. The record is from RNAcentral.
AGAGUUUGAUCCUGGCUCAGGAUGAACGCUGGCGGCGUGCUUAACACAUGCAAGUCGAACGAGAAACCUUUUCUGAUUCCUCCGAUGAAUUUCUAUUGAUUCAAGGGGCGAACGGGUGAUUAACGCGGGGGUAACCGGCCUGAUCCAGGGGAAUAACAGUCAGAACUGACUGCUAUUCCCGCAUAACCCCCCAGAACUGCUUGGCUCGGUGGGAAAAAACUCCGGUGGUAUAAGAUGGGCCCGCGUCGGAUUAGCUAGUUGGUGAGGUAACGGCCCACCAAGGCGACGAUCCAUAGCCGGCCUGAGAGGGUGACCGCCCACAUUGGGACUGAGACGCGGCCCAGACUCCUACGGGAGGCAGCAGUGGGGAAUAUUGCACAAUGGGGGAAACCCUGAUGCAGCGACGCCGCGUGAAGGAAGAAGUAUCUCGGUAUGUAAACUUCUAUCAGCAGGGAAGAAAAUGACGGUACCUGACUAAGAAGCCCCGGCUAACUACGUGCCAGCAGCCGCGGUAAUACGUAGGGGGCAAGCGUUAUCCGGAUUUACUGGGUGUAAAGGGAGCGUAGACGGAUGGACAAGUCUGAUGUGAAAGGCUGGGGCUCAACCCCGGGACUGCAUUGGAAACUGCCCGUCUUGAGUGCCGGAGAGGUAAGCGGAAUUCCUAGUGUAGCGGUGAAAUGCGUAGAUAUUAGGAGGAACACCAGUGGCGAAGGCGGCUUACUGGACGGUAACUGACGUUGAGGCUCGAAAGCGUGGGGAGCAAACAGGAUUAGAUACCCUGGUAGUCCACGCCGUAAACGAU